RNAcentral lists this ribosomal RNA (406 nucleotides) under uncultured bacterium. Its description in RNAcentral is "partial 16S ribosomal RNA". It matches the Rfam family "Bacterial small subunit ribosomal RNA", at positions 30 to 526 of the family's 1533-position model. The record is from RNAcentral.
AUUGAACGCUGGCGGCAGGCCUAACACAUGCAAGUCGAACGAGUGGCGGACGGGUGAGUAAUGUCUGGGAAACUGCCUGAUGGAGGGGGAUAACUACUGGAAACGGUAGCUAAUACCGCAUACCAUCGGAUGUUCCCAGAUGGGAUUAGCUAGUAGGUUGGGUAAAGGCGCACCUAGGCGACGAUCCCUAGCUGGUCUGAGAGGAUGACCAGCCACACUGGAACUGAGAAACGGUCCAGACUCAUACGGGAGGCAGCAGUGGGGAAUAUUGCACAAUGGGCGCAAGCCUGAUGCAGCCAUGCCGCGUGUAUGAAGAAGGCCAUAGGGUUGUAAAGUACUUUCAGUCGGGAGGCGUUACAGAAAGAAGAAGCACCGGCUAACUCCGUGCCAGCAGCCGCGGUAAUAC